GACUAUAUUUAACCCGUUCCAUUUUGUGAAUCAUACCUUCAAAUCCAACCCGAGACAUCGGCUGUGGUAUCACCUUUUGAUGAGUAAAACCCAGACAAAGGUGCUUAAGGGUGCAAAAUAAAAAACAAGGAAAAUAAAUAAAAGAACAGAAGAUUACAAAUUAGUAGUCAAAGAAAGCAAAAGGAUGUGUGUUUACAAACCAAUCAUGGGCAUGCCAUGAUCCAACCUAUUAUAACGGAACUUGCAGGAAUCCCUGAUCUUUAGCUUGAGCCAUCGUAAUCCCUUUCAGCCUUGUCACCAUACUAUAUAUAUGUCCUUGAUUCCAUUAUGUUGCACCAUCUCAUAUAAGUCCUCUCUCUCCCUCUCCCUACGGUUAUUUAAUAUAUAAGGUUUUUAGUUUUCCUACGAAGCACCCAGCUCCGGUCUACCAAAACCGAAAAUCGACCCCAUCACAUGCAAGCUUCACCAUGACUGUCGUUUUGCUGCCAACACAUAUCGGCUUCAUAACCUAACUUGCUCACACGACUUCUACAGCCAACGCUGCUAGAACACCCUCAAAGCCGUUGCUUGCCCCCACAUUCUCGCUUCUCCUAUCUAUUUUACGGUCCGCAUUUAGAGAUACAAAGUUCAAGGGAUGGAAAUCUGAUGGUUUGUAACUUUGAAUGUUUUUAGAUGGAUUGAGGUUUAUAAGGAUCUAUGGAGCAAACUUUAAAUGACGUAUUAUUAAACAUCAUCAAUUUAGAAGAGCUAUCAACUGCGUUUUUCUUAGCUUUAAAAAUUGUGAGAUGGAAAUAUGAGUUGUUCGUAGGUUGUAUAAUGGACUCCUCAGCUGAAUCCAUGGAUGUUGACUCUUCUUUUGUCGCUCCGUCGUCAUCGACUCCGCCUGUCCCUAUGGACACAGACACACAACCCAGAUCUUCAUUUGUUCCAUGAAACAUCUGAUGACCAUGAUGGUCAAGGAGCUUCUGCGGGCGAUACCUCAUCGGCUGCUAGGCAGGGGUCGGGUGGUUCAAACACCCUGCCAAGUGACCACCUCUCCAUCUUUGAACCAGUACAACCUGAUGUGGCUCCAGUUGAAUCCGAGUCGGUCACUAGGCCGAGGGCUGAACAGUUGCAGGGAGGGGAGCCCCAGGGCCAAGAGGAUCAGGAGGCUGAAGGGGGCGGACCUCAGGAGACUGAGGUGGCUGAAGGCGGUGGACCGCAAGACGCUGAGGUGACCGGCGAGGAGCAGGAGGUUGGCGGGGAGGCUGGGGAUGAGGACGCUGGGGAGCAACAGGGGGUUGGCUUGGAUGUUGGGGAUGAGGACGCUGGGGAGUAGCAGGAGGUUGGCGUGGAUGCUGAGGAUGAGGAUGCUGGGGAGCAGCAGGAGGUUGGCGGGGAUGCUGGGGAGGAGGACGCUAAUGAUCAGGAGGUUGGUGGGGAAGCUGGCGGGAAUGCUGCAGGUGCAAGUGUCAAGCGCAACAAACGCAAAAGAGGUGAUGAUGAUGUAGGAGGACCGUCGGGCGGCAAGAUUGUCACACCCCAACCGAUGGCAGAAACAUCGGGGCGCGACACUAGGCAAGCCAGAUUGCUCAAGAGAAUCCAUAACAACUAUUAAAUGACAAUAUUUAAAAGGUUCAUUGUCCCAUAACAAUAAACAAAUAUUUCACAAACAGUCAUCACAGAGUUCAAAUCUCUUAAACAAAACCAAUCCGACAACCUAGAUUUUUAUUUGCGGGUUUCUAAACUUCCUAAUCCAUUGCAGUUCUGCCUAACGAUGAGGCGGGUCAGAACUUUGAUGCUGGAAACGAUGACGACGUUGGAAACGACAAUUAUGAAGUAGGAAACAAUAUUAAUGGUGAGGACGUAGAGGAUGUAAAUGUGGACGAUCCAGAACAGGUUGACCACAAUCAAGAAGCUUUGAAUGUGGAAGUGGAAGUUGUUUUCGUUAAUCCAGAAAUAUGUGAUAUAGAGCAGGUUGACCACAAUGAAGAGGCUGUGAACGUGGAACUGGAUGUUAUCCUUGUUGAUCAAGCUGAUCAGGAGCAGGUUGCUAAUAUUGGUCGUGGUGGGGGAGAUGAGGAGCAGGUUGCUAAUAUUGGUCAAGGUGGGGCUAGGUUGCUAAUAUUGGUCAAGGUGGGGCUGAUGAGGAGCAUGUUGCUAAUCUGGAUUCGGAGUAGCGUCAGGUAGGCGGCGAAAUAGGGCCGCUUGCUGGGAAACGCAAGAGGGAUGAUGGGGGCCAUGAGCCGGAUAAAUGGAAAAACUAGCUUUGACAUCUAAAAGUUAAAAAUCCUUAGGGAUUGGGGUGAUUUUUUUUUCAUAAAGUCUACAAGAACUUUGUAGCCAUAGAAAAAUACUAUCUGUUGAAACUCAAUUAAAUCAAAGUCAUAUAAACAGAAACCCUUUAACACAACCCCUUUUUAUUUAAA
This is a long non-coding RNA of Helianthus annuus (common sunflower), 2408 nucleotides long. RefSeq lists it as uncharacterized. The record is from RefSeq and is a predicted model, not a curated record. The transcript has 3 exons. Lineage: Eukaryota; Viridiplantae; Streptophyta; Magnoliopsida; Asterales; Asteraceae.